This 489-nucleotide ribosomal RNA is filed under the name uncultured bacterium. RNAcentral's name for it is "bacterial SSU rRNA". It matches the Rfam family "Bacterial small subunit ribosomal RNA", at positions 8 to 476 of the family's 1533-position model. The record is from RNAcentral.
AGAGUUUGAUCCUGGCUCAGGACGAACGCUGGCGGCAUGCCUAAUACAUGCAAGUCGAGCGAACAUUUAAAAGAGCUUGCUCUUUUAAAUGUUAGCGGCGGAUGGGUGAGUAACACGUGGGCAACCUGCCCUACAGAUGGGGAUAACUCCGGGAAACCGGGGCUAAUACCGAAUAAACAGUUUGUCCGCAUGGACAAACUCUGAAAGACGGUUUCGGCUGUCACUGUAGGAUGGGCCCGCGGCGCAUUAGCUAGUUGGUAAGGUAACGGCUUACCAAGGCGACGAUGCGUAGCCGACCUGAGAGGGUGAUCGGCCACACUGGGACUGAGACACGGCCCAGACUCCUACGGGAGGCAGCAGUAGGGAAUCUUCCACAAUGGACGAAAGUCUGAUGGAGCAAUGCCGCGUGAACGAAGAAGGUUCUCGGAUCGUAAAGUUCUGUUGUAAGGGAAGAACACGUACGGGAGUAACUGCCCGUACCUUGACGGU